This is a long non-coding RNA of Apis dorsata (giant honeybee), 809 nucleotides long. RefSeq lists it as uncharacterized. NCBI's taxonomy places the organism in Eukaryota, Metazoa, Arthropoda, Insecta, Hymenoptera, Apidae. The record is from RefSeq and is a predicted model, not a curated record. The transcript is spliced from 3 exons.
GAACGAAUCGUGAGAGUCGUCAACCGGGAAGAUGACGGAUGUACAAGUGAAUUCGAACAAGGACGACACCGGCAGCAAAUUGCAGCAGGAUGACGACGUCAUGCAGCGAACAGGUAUCUUAUCUUACCUGGUAAUGAAUAUCAAUGCAAGGAACAUGCACGAGGGAAAGGAUAAGUUAAAUUAUCGAUUCUUAACGAUAAGAGAGAACUCCGGCUCGUGGCUCGAUUCCAAGGGGGCGUUUGCAUGGCUUCCAUCGUUGUGGAUUAGUAAUCUUCGACUAGACGACUACGGGGAGCAGUACACCCUAUGAAAAAAAAUUCUUCGCUGUCUUUAGUCAAUCUUAAGUUAAAGUUAAUAGUCAGGUAAAAAAAAUCAAAUCUUCAUUGUCGAAUUAAAAGAAGUUAUGCAGUGAAGCAAAAUCUUCAGCAACCAGAAAUAGUCGACAACCGUGAAUUUGAUAUUUUCUGCAAAUAAUAUAGUCACGUAUGUAACAUUUUAAUAUUAUUUUAUUAUCGAUCUUCUCGUAUUUCUAUACAAGAAUGUGGCGCCUGUGGGUCGCGACUCAACACAUUAGUUCAUCAUUUGUCGAUAAUAUCGCCACUUGGAACAUAAUAUUAGGGUAUACCACAUUGAGAAAUGAAUGAAACAACUGUUUCAUUGAAGAAGUUUGACUGGAUCUUUAUACAGUUAACGACAUGUAACCGACGAUGAGGCGCGAAAUAAGCAAGGGGGUAUCAAUGACGGGCUUACAGCUACUGGAUAAUUAAUCAAUGGAGAUAUAGGCAAACUCUAUAACCUCUAUACAAAUU